RNAcentral lists this transfer RNA (70 nucleotides) under Paraulopus oblongus. Its description in RNAcentral is "tRNA-Gly". The record is from RNAcentral. Lineage: Eukaryota; Metazoa; Chordata; Actinopteri; Aulopiformes; Paraulopidae.
AAUUUCCCUAGUACUAACUAGUAUAAGUGACUUCCAAUUACCUGGUCCUGGUUUAAAUCCAGGGGGAAAU